Long non-coding RNA from Colossoma macropomum (tambaqui), 1221 nucleotides. RefSeq lists it as uncharacterized. The transcript has 3 exons. The record is from RefSeq and is a predicted model, not a curated record. NCBI's taxonomy places the organism in Eukaryota, Metazoa, Chordata, Actinopteri, Characiformes, Serrasalmidae.
GUCAACGUUACUGUACAUCACUCGCAAGCACUGUGUUUUCGACGACGGACGGCAAAUGAGCCAGGAUCCACUGCCAAGUCAGAAGGGUUCAGAUUUCUGAGGAUAUCAUGAUGGACACUGGCUUCUGUGAACUCCUCUUGGAAGUACACAAGAACUUGCCUCCUGAAACACGGGUUUUUGCUCUUUUGGGCUUUGGUGAGCAUUCACAGUCUCCCGUUUCUCUUGCUGCUUGUGGGAAUGGCAUCAUGAACUUCUAAACAGGGCUGGUGCAUAAACACCGUCAGUAUGAUUAUAGUGUUUGUUGCAAUGGAAUGUGGACUGACAGUGUAGUGAGAAUGUUUGAGGAUGUUGUAAUGUGUUUUUCCCUUUAAAUGACCUUUUUACUCUUUUUUACUACAUUCAGGAUUAUAUGGACUUUUAGAAUUAUGGGAGCAAAUUGCAAACAUGAAGAAGACAUUAUCCACAGAACUUCUGACAGGUGUUUCCUGGCUAAACUGGAUAAGAAUAGGCAGUGAAGGUGGGGUAAUUACACUGGGACCCAUAGCAUGGGUCUGCCAUAUCAUGGGGGGACCUUUGGCAACCAGACCCCAUAACAAGUUUUUUGGAUGUCUUAUAUCUUUCCCCCGCGACCCAGAAGGAUAAGCGGCUUAGAAGAUGUGUGUGUAUAUAUCUUUCUUCUUUAUGGAAAUUCACACCAAUGGCUAUGAUAAUUUAAUAAUAUGCCUAAACGGUUAGCCUACAUCAGCAUUCUAUAAACAAUCUGUUUAUCCUCCCUCAUGAUACCUUGUAACCUCUCUGUUCAUGAUGUAUCUCAUCCAUGGUGGCCUUUCCAAAUCGAUCCUUUAACACUGCAAAAUCUAGUCAUUAUUUUUAUCUCUCAAAACAUAAAAGAUCAAAAUAAUUAAAUUCAACACUAUAUCAGAGUAUGUGUAUUGUACCAUGUAAGUAUGUGUGUUGUACCAUGUUGCACUGUAACGUUUCAGGUAAAUGUACAGGUGGUACAGAGACCACACUUUUAUUUAUUUAAUGUCCAGUCAAAAAGCCAUUAAGUAGAAGUUAUUCAUUUUUCAGCAUCAGGAAAAAAAAGCAAAAGACAUAUAUUUAACAGAAAAUCUUCCAGAAGCCUCACCAACUAAAUAGAAAAUCAAUUCAUUUUUCAGUAUUUAGUGUGUCCACUCUUUGCCUGUAUUACAGCUUCCAUUCUUUUUGAGGCACUUGCUU